This 393-nucleotide long non-coding RNA is filed under the name Capsicum annuum. RNAcentral's name for it is "long non-coding RNA (CANN_LNC015942)". The record is from RNAcentral. Lineage: Eukaryota; Viridiplantae; Streptophyta; Magnoliopsida; Solanales; Solanaceae.
GAAUAAAUAUGGAGGACGAGAGAAGUGAAAACUUUGACAUUGGACAAGAGAGGGGGACUGCAACAACUUUUCUGCAAAGCUUCUUGCAGUGCUGAAUUUCUGCAGCAAUGGCAACAACUUUUAAAACUGUAGAUAAUAGUGAGAGUUGACUCGUACAAAUCGUCCUGGUGUGCAUACCUAGUCCCUCAUCCGGUCCAUAUACAAUAAGAGACCAUAACAUCUUGUUGCAGCUCCAUAACAGUUGACAACAUCUUUACAACUAUGGACUGAUGUAAGAGUUGACCUGUACCGAUCAGUAUGGUGCGAAUACGUAGUCUCUCAUUCUAAUCCCUAUAAAAUAAGAUCUAUCUGCGAAACUGUUCCUCUUGAAUGCGCAUUAUAAUAACUUGUUUC